GGUGGCCGAGUGGUUGAAGGCGUACCCCUGGAAAGGGUGUAUGCGGGGAACCGUAUCGAGAGUUCGAAUCUCUCUCUGGAA
RNAcentral lists this transfer RNA (81 nucleotides) under Alphaproteobacteria bacterium. Its description in RNAcentral is "tRNA-Ser". It matches the Rfam family "tRNA", at positions 6 to 65 of the family's 71-position model. Rfam says of the family: Transfer RNA (tRNA) molecules are approximately 80 nucleotides in length. Their secondary structure includes four short double-helical elements and three loops (D, anti-codon, and T loops). The record is from RNAcentral. Lineage: Bacteria; Pseudomonadati; Pseudomonadota; Alphaproteobacteria.